This 253-nucleotide ribosomal RNA is filed under the name uncultured bacterium. Its description in RNAcentral is "partial 16S ribosomal RNA". It matches the Rfam family "Bacterial small subunit ribosomal RNA", at positions 524 to 776 of the family's 1533-position model. The record is from RNAcentral.
UACGUAGGGUGCGAGCGUUAAUCGGAAUUACUGGGCGUAAAGCGUGCGCAAACAACUUUGCAAGCCAGACGUAAAAGCCCCGGGCUCAACCUGGGAAUGGCGUUUGGGACUACAAAGCUAAAAUACAACAAAAAAAACUGGAAUUCCUAAUGUAACAGUAAAAUGCAUAGAUAUCAGAAGGAACACCGAUGGCGAAGGCAGGUUCCUGGGCCAGCACUGACGCUCAUGCACGAAAGCGUGGGGAGCAAACAGG